This 107-nucleotide small nuclear RNA is filed under the name Jaculus jaculus (lesser Egyptian jerboa). The record is from RNAcentral. Lineage: Eukaryota; Metazoa; Chordata; Mammalia; Rodentia; Dipodidae.
GUGCUUGUUUCGGCAGCACAUAGACUAAAAUUGGAACGAUACAGAGAAGAUUACUGUGGCCCCUGCACAAGGAUGACACCCAAAUUCAUGAAGCAUUCCAUAUUAAA